Molecule: long non-coding RNA, 530 nt
Organism: Parambassis ranga (Indian glassy fish)
Lineage: Eukaryota; Metazoa; Chordata; Actinopteri; Ambassidae
Source: Ensembl
GGGGGGAGCGAGCGUGUACAGGAGGAGGAGGAAUGAGGGAGAGAGAGGGAGAGAGAGAGUGCAAACAAUGUCAUUCUGUUCAGGAGGCAAUGCUGCAGUCAACUUUGCCGCGCCAUGAAAGCACAUCACCAGCAAGCAAAAGGGCUCAGAGUGAGUGCAGAGAAGUUUUCCUCCUCUCCUCCCCGUGUGUGAUGCGGCACGAGACUCCCCUGAGCAGGCUCAUACACCCGUCCGGCUGCUGGUGGCGUGUUGGAACAUGCCUUGACUUGUUGUGCUGCCUGAGUGAAGCAAGGAGAGAGAGACAGCCACAAACACACAGAGAGAGAGAGAAGGAAGAGGCUGCUGGUCAACAGUCUUCCUGGUGUGAAGUCACCCACAGCUCUGCAGCACCCGUGGACGGUGUACUCGUUGGAGAUGAGGAGAGUGGAGAGAGGAGCUGCCCAGCCAGCUUGCCUCUAGUAUCCAUGUUGUCCUGUCAGCAGAGUGGCGUCCACAGGGAGAAGACAGUAUGGAACGGUCAGGCGGCCUAA